GACAGAGGGUGCAAGCGGUGUUCGGAAUUACUGGGCGUAAAGCGCGCGUAGGUGGCUUCGUAUGUCGGGUGUGAAAGCCCUUGGCUCAACCAAGGAAGUGCGCCCAAAACUGCGAUGCUCGAGUUUGGGAGAGGAUGGUAGAAUUCUCAGUGUAGAGGUGAAAUUCGUAGAUACUGGGAGGAACACCGGUGGCGAAGGCGACCAACUGGACCAACACUGACACUGAUGUGCGAAAGCGUGGGUAGCAAACAGG
This 253-nucleotide ribosomal RNA is filed under the name uncultured bacterium. Its description in RNAcentral is "partial 16S ribosomal RNA". It matches the Rfam family "Bacterial small subunit ribosomal RNA", at positions 524 to 776 of the family's 1533-position model. The record is from RNAcentral.